This is a long non-coding RNA of Polypterus senegalus (gray bichir), 350 nucleotides long. RefSeq lists it as uncharacterized. The record is from RefSeq and is a predicted model, not a curated record. NCBI's taxonomy places the organism in Eukaryota, Metazoa, Chordata, Cladistia, Polypteriformes, Polypteridae. The transcript has 3 exons.
GCCAUGAAUCCCCUCAUGACAAGUCAGCAUUACCUCAUGUGUUGUGGACGUGACUUCAGUUCAAAGGGCCGCAUUUCUACCUGAGUGUUGCCCAGGAGGUGCCACAGUCGAACUUCCCAACUGGCAACAAUGAAGAAGCCUUUCCUGAGUGGAGUGGACGUGGCUGUCCAGGUCUGGUCAUCUUCAGCAGCAGGCGUUUAUAGCGGAGGAUUUCUGGACAAAGGAUGUCCUUCCUUCAAAUGGAUGUCGUCUCCAGUCUCACAGGGCUUCUCCUGUUCCACCCCACACUACAGAAUAGACGGCCCCACCAGAGGGUCAUCAGCCAGAGCAGCGCUUGGGGACAGAAGGUG